GAUGAAGAACGUAGCGAAAUGCGAUACGUAAUGUGAAUUGCAGAAUUCAGUGAAUCAUCGAGUCUGUGAACGCACAUUGCGCCCCCUGGUAUUCCGGGGGGCAUGCCUGUCCGAGCGUCAUUGCUGCCCUCAAGCACGGCUUGUGUGUUGGGCCUCCGUCCUCCUCCCGGGGGACGGGCCCGAAAGGCAGCGGCGGCACCGCGUCCGGUCCUCGAGCGUAUGGGGCUUCGUCACCCGCUCUUGUAGGCCCGGCCGGCGCUUGCCGACACAUCAAUCUUUUUUCCAGGUUGACCUCGGAUCAGGUAGGGAUACCCGCUGAACUUAAGCAUAUCAAUAAGCGGAGGA
Molecule: unclassified non-coding RNA, 345 nt
Filed under: soil metagenome
Description: partial contains 5.8S ribosomal RNA, internal transcribed spacer 2, and large subunit ribosomal RNA
Rfam family: 5.8S ribosomal RNA (bases 1-120)
Source: RNAcentral